This 71-nucleotide ribosomal RNA is filed under the name Salinibacter ruber. RNAcentral describes it as "partial 16S ribosomal RNA". It matches the Rfam family "Bacterial small subunit ribosomal RNA", at positions 1463 to 1533 of the family's 1533-position model. Lineage: Bacteria; Pseudomonadati; Rhodothermota; Rhodothermia; Rhodothermales; Salinibacteraceae. The record is from RNAcentral.
UGAGCUCAGUGACUGGGGCUAAGUCGUAACAAGGUAGCCGUAGGGGAACCUGCGGCUGGAUCACCUCCUAA